RNAcentral lists this unclassified non-coding RNA (85 nucleotides) under Flavobacteriaceae bacterium MAR_2010_188. RNAcentral's name for it is "Flavo-1 RNA". The record is from RNAcentral. Lineage: Bacteria; Pseudomonadati; Bacteroidota; Flavobacteriia; Flavobacteriales; Flavobacteriaceae.
GUUUAGCCAUGUGUUAGCGAUUGAACGAUUUGUCUGAGCUCUUUUUGCCUUAGCAAAAAAGCGAGUCGUGAAAGCGCGACCGAGC